Molecule: ribosomal RNA, 486 nt
Filed under: uncultured bacterium
Lineage: Bacteria
Description: bacterial SSU rRNA
Rfam family: Bacterial small subunit ribosomal RNA
Source: RNAcentral
GACGAACGCUGGCGGCGUGCUUAACACAUGCAAGUCGAGCGGGCAAUUUAUCUAGCACUGAUUACUUCAAAUGGAAAUCAUAAGUGUAAUCAUGAAUUUCUACCUUUAAUAAAGAAAAAAGAAAUUCAUGUACGCAAAUAGUGAUAACACAUUUUAGUGGAGUGAUGAGUGCUGGAUAAAUUGCUAGCGGCGGACGGGUGCGUAACACGUGGGUAACCUGCCCCUAUCACUGGGAUAACACACUGAAAAGUGUGCUAAUACCAGAUAACAUAAGCUUUUGGCAUCAUUAGCUUAUCAAAGAAUUUCGGAUAGGGAUGGGCCCGCGUCUGAUUAGCUUGUUGGCGGGGUAACGGCCCACCAAGGCAACGAUGGGUAGCCGAUUUGAGAGGAUGAUCGGCCACACUGGAACUGAAACACGGUCCAGACUCCUACGGGAGGCAGCAGUGGGGAAUAUUGCGCAAUGGGCGAAAGCCUGACGCAGCGACG